This 76-nucleotide transfer RNA is filed under the name Pseudomonas phage M5.1. RNAcentral describes it as "tRNA-Cys". It matches the Rfam family "tRNA". Rfam says of the family: Transfer RNA (tRNA) molecules are approximately 80 nucleotides in length. Their secondary structure includes four short double-helical elements and three loops (D, anti-codon, and T loops). The record is from RNAcentral. Lineage: Duplodnaviria; Heunggongvirae; Uroviricota; Caudoviricetes; Vandenendeviridae.
UCCAUGUUGGCUGAAUGAUUUAGGCGGCUGAUUGCAAACCAGCAUCAAAUGGGUUUGAUUCCCAUACAUGGCUCCA